GAUGAACGCUGGCGGCGUGCCUAAUACAUGCGAGUCGAGCGAACAGACGAGGAGCUUGCUCCUCUGACGUUAGCGGCGGACGGGUGAGUAACACGUGGAUAGCCUACCUAUAAGACUGGGAUAACUUCGGGAAACCGGAGCUAAUACCGGAUAAUAUAUUGAACCGCAUGGUUCAAUAGUGAAAGACGGUUUUGCUGUCACUUAUAGAUGGAUCCGCGCCGCAUUAGCUAGUUGGUAAGGUAACGGCUUUCCAAGGCAACGAUGCGUAGCCGACCUGAGAGGGUGAUCGGCCACACUGGAACUGAGACACGGUCCAGACUCCUACGGGAGGCAGCAGUAGGGAAUCUUCCGCAAUGGGCGAAAGCCUGACGGAGCAACGCCGCGUGAGUGAUGAAGGUCUUCGGAUCGUAAAACUCUGUUAUUAGGGAAGAACAAAUGUGUAAGUAACUAUGCACGUCUUGACGGUACCUAAUCAGAAAGCCACGGCUAACUACGUG
RNAcentral lists this ribosomal RNA (497 nucleotides) under uncultured bacterium. Its description in RNAcentral is "partial 16S ribosomal RNA". It matches the Rfam family "Bacterial small subunit ribosomal RNA", at positions 28 to 507 of the family's 1533-position model. The record is from RNAcentral.